GUGCCAGUCUGCUUCCGCAAAGAACAAGAGUUUCGGUGGCACAUUAAAGAAAUAUGAAUUUAUUUUGGUCAUUUAUACCAAAAACAAAAGCCAAUGUGGUGUAGUGGUUAGAGUGUCAGACUAGGAACUGGGAGACCAAGGUUUGAAUCUGCAUUUGGCAAUGAAGUUCACUGGGUGACCUUGGGCUGUCACUUGCUCUCAGCCUAGACUACCCCACAGGGUUGUUGUGGGGAUUAAAUGGGGGGGGAUCAUGUAACUCCAUGACAAAAAGGUGAGACAGAAAUGAAAUAAACUACUAUGCAGCCAGUCUUUCAAACAAGACUGGGAGCUGCAGUGAGGAUGGAGAAAAUAGAGGCUAAGAAGUUGGCAAUGCCCCCUCACAAGGGACAGGACCAAACCCAUACCUCCCCCCCCCCCAGGCAAUCUAUUACAGCUGCAGGUCUUGAGCCCUGCUUGUUUCCACGAGUUAGGGAGAGGGAAGGAGACACAGAAAUGGUUAUGGCAACCUGGGUAACAUCAUAAUCACUGAUGGAACAACAAAUAUGUCUUAGGCUGAAGCUCUCUGAAAGACUUCACAAUGAACCUCUCCUGGUUCUGAGAUUUUAUGGGGGGGGGGGCGGUUCUUCUUGGGAACUGACUGCUGCUAAUGAAAGGGUUGGUCCAUGCUGCUGCUGCUUCUUGCUGUGAUUAUCUGCAGGGUUUCAGUAGGUAUUUUGUAUUCAUACUUAGCUUAAUUCUCUCAAUGUUUAACUGUUUUUUUAAUUAUUGCUGUCUCCCUCCUAUGUUUCUAGCUGUUCUUAGUAUUAUUUGCAAGCCGUGUUGGGUCCCACUCUGGGAAUACAACCCCGGCGGGUGGCGGCUGCAGAGUUCCUUCCCAAGCCCUUCCGCCCCCGCCUCCCCUCGCCCCCCGUCUCCAUCCCGCGCUGCUACGGGAGCCAGAGCAGGAGACCCCCCCGCGCAGGAAGGGUAUCUGGCGAAGGGCGAGUCGAGCCUCUUCCUCUUCCCGGCCGCCGCCUCGCGCUGCUUGGCCCGCAUCAGCCGCCGCAGCUCCUCCUGCCCCACCGAGGCCGCCGCCGCCGGCCGCCCCCGAGGCCUCCCGGCCGCCGGACCCGAAGCCGCCAUAGCCGCCGCCGCGGAGGAAGCGGGCGCGCCGGAAAGCGCGUCAUCCAGCCUCGCUCGUCGCGAAGACCUUGCGUCACUCUCUCCCCGCCAAGGAGGCCGGAAGAAGCGGAGCAGCCGGUUGAGUGACUGGAGGCGGGACUUCCUUCUUCCUUCGGACGCCCUUUUUGAGACGCUCCCCGGAAAUAGUGUUAGAGAGAAGUCUUGGGCGUGGGAGAAGGUUCUCUUGCUAAUGAUACUGUUUGAAAUGCACAUUUUGUAUUUGGCUUCCUUUAGCGGUGUUUCUCUUUGAAUCAUUUUUUGGUUAGCUUAGCUGCGUUGAAUGUGCAUUCUGUGGGUGUCCUUUGUACAGU
Podarcis lilfordi (Lilford's wall lizard) is the source of this 1472-nucleotide non-coding RNA. NCBI's taxonomy places the organism in Eukaryota, Metazoa, Chordata, Lepidosauria, Squamata, Lacertidae. The record is from the annotation of a GenBank genome assembly.